UAAUAUGCCUUAGCAUUAAUAAAAAAUAAAUUUAAAAAAAACAAUAAAUGAAUUUCUCCCUUUCCACGAUAGCUAAAAAAUAAAAGUACUUGAUGUGAACAUACAAAUUUGGUGACUUGCCCUGAAUAUUUGAAAUUCGCUCAAAAAUAGAAUUUCAAUUUUUAUCGAUUGAUUGGAAACAGGGCAAGCUAUCGGAAAUAACCAUGUACUACGCGGACGAUAGGGGUCGGCGGUGCUUCUCUUUUUACAGUUGAAUGAAAUAUUUGAGAUCCCUUUGAAGCCUCUAUCUAUUAGUGAAAAAAUAGCCAUAGAAACGACCGAUUUACAAUAUAUGUAUGUGUGCAUACAAAGUAGAUGCCGAUUUUUUAACGUCACUCUCCAAAAACGCGCUCCUUCCAUUCAGUUUUGAGAAUCGACGAAGUUUUACAAAAAUGUAUUGAUGUUUUACUUUGUUUUGUUUUGUUGAAGCAUCGAUACUUAGCGUUUGUUAUGUGUCUACAUUAACUACUACGGCAACGCCGGCCAGCCAGUACUCUCUUUAGGGAUGGGCAUUUCCUGCCCACCGUCACGAACAAUCGCACAACACUAAACUAAAUCUGCACAUCACUAAGCAGUUGACUCAAAAACGUAAACAAAGGCUAGUGACAAAACAAUGCAAAAAUAAAGCUAACAAAAUUUCGGCGGGUUCCUUGUUGUUGCCGUUGCACAUAAACCUAUCCUGUGAUGACUUCUAUUCGAACGGCAGCAUUCCCCUUCCUAACGUUAACGAAUUUUUUGCCGGACAUUUUCUUUUUCACUAUGAACAAAAGACAGACGACAAGACUUUUGCCUGUUGCCGCUGGAAACAAUAAUCGAUUAUAAUUUUUUACUGAGUGAAUAUAAUUCUCGAAUUGGAAAUUAUGUGAGGCAUAUAAGUUUGAAAGAUUGCUACCUUACUCUAUCUAAAGAGCUCUCCGGCAGCCCAAAAUGUAAGCCACAACAAUAUGCAUCAAUGUUUUAUUCUAAUGCAUCGAUAUUGAGCUUUGAUGUUCACCGGUAAAUCGAUGUACAUUUCUAUUUCAUCUAUUUCAUCAUCAACAAUGAUGCAAAAGCCAAUUCAGCAAUUGGCAACCCUACCAAGAAGCGUUA
This is a long non-coding RNA of Drosophila novamexicana, 1128 nucleotides long. RefSeq lists it as uncharacterized. The transcript is spliced from 3 exons. NCBI's taxonomy places the organism in Eukaryota, Metazoa, Arthropoda, Insecta, Diptera, Drosophilidae. The record is from RefSeq and is a predicted model, not a curated record.